GCCGGGGUGGCGGAACUGGCAGACGCAGCGGACUUAAAAUCCGCCGGACCUUGGUCCCUGUGGGUUCGAGUCCCACCCCCGGCACCA
RNAcentral lists this transfer RNA (87 nucleotides) under Dehalococcoidia bacterium. Its description in RNAcentral is "tRNA-Leu". It matches the Rfam family "tRNA". Rfam says of the family: Transfer RNA (tRNA) molecules are approximately 80 nucleotides in length. Their secondary structure includes four short double-helical elements and three loops (D, anti-codon, and T loops). Lineage: Bacteria; Bacillati; Chloroflexota; Dehalococcoidia. The record is from RNAcentral.